GGGACACACUUGGUACGAGCUGUUCACCGUCGUCAAUCGCCACUCAUCACCAUUAGCCAGCAGCUUGGCGUACUCCUGUUCCGGUCGGAUGAUCGUACCGCCCUCAAGGAUAUUGUUCACGAUGUGUGGCUUUCGUUCAACCAAGUCAAUAUUCUGGUGCAGCAGCUGCAAGAGAAUCAAAGAACACGCGGGUCAUUUGAGUUGCGUACAGAAAAACUCCAUUUUGCUCAGUUUGGGUAGGAGAACACAAAAGCAGCCCCUGGUACCAGCGAAGCAGAAAGGUCAUUGAUUCUGAAUCCUUUACCACGACACGAGAUCAGAGAAAAUCACAGUUGGCUACGUGUACCACUCCUAAUGCGAUUAGUUGAGGAAUGGUUUUUUCCGUUUUCUCGAAAUCAUUACGCGGCGACAGCAGAGCGGAGUGCCAAAUACCGAACCAUAUGGUUCCGGAUGUGGCGGGUGAUGACCGGUGAUGCAGAGCGUUACGUCGACGGGCCUUUCGCCUUGCUGGUCGUACAUCAGAACGCCCUCCAGCUUUGGCGUCAGG
Molecule: long non-coding RNA, 547 nt
Organism: Anopheles aquasalis
Lineage: Eukaryota; Metazoa; Arthropoda; Insecta; Diptera; Culicidae
Source: RefSeq, a predicted model, not a curated record